RNAcentral lists this unclassified non-coding RNA (695 nucleotides) under Hevea brasiliensis (rubber tree). The record is from RNAcentral. Lineage: Eukaryota; Viridiplantae; Streptophyta; Magnoliopsida; Malpighiales; Euphorbiaceae.
UCACCAUACAAGGCCUUGCGCAAUCCAGCGCACACUGCUGUAUUUCCCCAUUCAUAUCAAUACAAGGAUACUGGAGAUUCCUCAUUAGGACCCGGAGGUGACCUUAGGGUAUAUCUGGAACGAUUAGCUGAGGCUCGAAAUGUUCAAGAAUAUGUUGCACAAAAUCCAUUUGGUCAGCGAGCCAUUACAGAAUCAAAUCCUUCCUGGGGUUUCUAUCAGAAGAUUUUAAGUGCUGACUUGUACCAAUGACAAGAUGUUGCUAGUAUACAGUAGUUAUGACACUGGGCAAUAGUGAUCGAUUUUGAAUGACCUGCAAAACACUUGCGUCUUUUGGCCCUGAGUGAUGUAAUUCAAUUUGCUUCUAAGGGCUGGAUUGAUGUUGCAGAAUGCGGUGCAUUUUUUCUCAAGUCAGUUCAGUUGCGUGGAAAACCAGAAACAUGUUUCCGGCUGAAUUAUGGAAGAUUGCUAUUGUGACUGCUGUUAUUUUGAUAACCAUGCAGAAUAGUGAUCUGGUUUUCGUCAACCUUAAGAUGAGCAACAUUUUUGUUUCUUGUGCUUUAGGCUGUUUUUUUUUUGGCCUAAUUUUUUUCUCAAGAUUUAUGUAUCUUCAUUGGCAAUUAUUAGGUCUCACGGCAUGAUGUAUUGCUGAGCAAACAACUCUGAAUAGAGACGAGACCAUUUUAUUGCCAAUGAAG